Molecule: ribosomal RNA, 497 nt
Filed under: uncultured bacterium
Lineage: Bacteria
Description: partial 16S ribosomal RNA
Rfam family: Bacterial small subunit ribosomal RNA
Source: RNAcentral
GAUGAACGCUGGCGGCGUGCCUAAUACAUGCAAGUCGAGCGAACAGACGAGGAGCUUGCUCCUCUGACGUUAGUGGCGGACGGGUGAGUAACACGUGGAUAACCUACCUAUAAGACUGGGAUAACUUCGGGAAACCGGAGCUAAUACCGGAUAACAUGUUGAACCGCAUGGUUCAACAGUGAAAGACGGUCUUGCUGUCACUUAUAGAUGGAUCCGCGCCGCAUUAGCUAGUUGGUAAGGUAACGGCUUACCAAGGCAACGAUGCGUAGCCGACCUGAGAGGGUGAUCGGCCACACUGGAACUGAGACACGGUCCAGACUCCUACGGGAGGCAGCAGUAGGGAAUCUUCCGCAAUGGGCGAAAGCCUGACGGAGCAACGCCGCGUGAGUGAAGAAGGUCUUCGGAUCGUAAAACUCUGUUAUUAGGGAAGAACAAAUGUGUAAGUAACUAUGCACGUCUUGACGGUACCUAAUCAGAAAGCCACGGCUAACUACGUG